CGUACCCGCGUCCUCUUCUUCUCCACGCACUCCAAUUUCCCUCUUCACUUUACCAUCUCCUCGAAUCUACUAUUCUUACCCGCGUCCUCUUCUUCUCCACGCACUCCAAUCACUUUACAUCUCCUUGAAUCUACUUUUGCCGCCUACAUUACUCCAUUGAAGAUGGCUCCUGGAACAAGAAGAUCCUUAGCUCGAAGGGCAGCUGAUGUUGACACCAUUCAGCCUUCAGAUCCGACUCCCGAAAUUGCUGCAGACACAAGCACAACAACUUAGGGAUUCGGUCAAUCCAAUACAAUUGUUUCACGACACUCAUUGGAGCGCCGAGAAAGGGUGAGUUAAUGAACAAGCAAGAGAGCUAUAUGAGAAAAUGAUUGAGAUGCAAGAGGAAACCCAGGCAGGGGAAAGUGAAAGAUCGGAAGCUGAAAUAUGCGAGGAAUUGCUUGGUAAAGCUUCCGGCUUCAACCAGAAUUUUGCAUUCUUAGUGACUCAGCAGCAAGAUACAACAGAUGCAGCAGAGCUAAGGCACACAGUUGAACAACAAAAAAAAUGGAUUCAUGAUUUGGAGGAGUAGCUCAUAAUGUUUGUGUUAGACCUCCCAUACAUAAGGUCUAUAAAUCCAAGGGCAAAAGUAGGAAUAAGAAUAAAGAGGUGCUGGGUAUGAGUUUGUUUUCAGGGGUUGAGGUGUACAAUAAAAGUUGUUAGGAUGUUGGAGUCUGUUAUGAGUCUGGACAGGUGGCUGGACAGGUGGCUGUCAAGUCUGUUACAGAAGGGAAUAACUUGCUUAUAAAUGGGAAAGAGAGUGGAGGGUAGGAAAUAGUUUAUAUUCUGGAAAUUGGGUGGGAGGUCCCCAGCUCCUCGAACUGCUGGGAUUUAUCAGUUUGCUAAUUGCAUUUGUUCUGUUCUUUCAUUCAGUAGCUAUUAAUACAAUCUGUUAUU
Molecule: long non-coding RNA, 936 nt
Organism: Pistacia vera
Lineage: Eukaryota; Viridiplantae; Streptophyta; Magnoliopsida; Sapindales; Anacardiaceae
Exons: 4
Source: RefSeq, a predicted model, not a curated record